ACCUGGUGUUGAUUUUAUGGUUGAAUUCAAUAUGACUCUUCUCUGAACAUGAAUUUUAAAUUUCACAGUGGAAUUAGCUAAAUGGUUUGUUUUGCACUCUAAUGGAUGGGAUUUAAAUCCAGUUUUUCACAUCAUGCAGGAAACAUUUUUCAAUAUUCUUUUGUCUCUGCUCCAUGCACCAAAACCAAAGACAAAUUCCCAUUGUUGGAAAUGGAUCUUAUAGUAGUAAAGAUGCUCUAAGUUCCUUUCUCAGAGUUUGUCUAGCAGCUGUUCAUGUUUCUGGGGUGUGCACUUGCCCCUGUGUGGAGUCUGGGUGGGAGCUGUGAGAAAGCCCCGUUCGUGGCCAGCCCUUGGUGGCUGAGCUCUCUGAGCUGUCCCUGUCCCCUGCCCAGCGCAGAUGGCAGAGCCGGACUGGCCCGGGCACGGAGCAUCGCUGCUGUGUGUGAGCUCCGUGUCCCCAGCAGCUCUGCCUGUGGCCAAGGACACACACCCACCUGCUGACAAGGGCAACGACUCGUGAAAUCCCGGCCCCGGGCCGCGUGCUGGGUUUUAUUGUUACACACAAACACAGAGCGCAUGGGGCAUUUAUCACUUUCCAAUUUCUGUGACUGAAAUGGGUGUUUGAUUAUGUGAGAGAGGCAGUGAAUGUUUACAGAGAUUUGGGUAAGAGCUGUUUUUCAUUUCGCCUUGCUGAUGCACACAGUGGAUUCGUGAGCCUGGCUAUAUUCUGCUGCAUUUGCCAGUUUUUUUUGUUUCUUUUUUUUUUUUUAAUGUUUACCUAUGUGUUUAAGUACACACAUACACAUGUCUUGUACUGUGUAUCAGAAUAUAUCAGCUGUGUUGGUGUGAAGCUGUCAUUUAAUUUUAAAGGAAGGAUGAAGUUAUUUGAAUGGUGCUGAGCCAUGAUGUCAUAACUUUGUACUGCCUAGACUCUGUAUUUGUACUGGGAUUUUUUCUCCAUGUAGUAGCAGAAUAAUUUUCUGAUUUUUCCCCGGAAUAGCUUUUCUCUCUGUGUUAUCUCUUAUGCUAACAGUGUUAAUAAAGGAAAUUAUGAUUUCUUAGCCUCAUCCAUGAGCCAGAGGGAAAUUUACUAGAGAUGCAUCAAUAUCUGUUUUUAUUAAUGUUAAUACACUCUGUGCAAACUUCUCUGGACAUGUUUACAACUUACUUGUAUCUGAACGUGGAAUCAAGUGUAAAGACUGCAGAGCCCUAAAGCUGUGUGUGCUUUGCCAAGUGGUGCAGAUGAAGGGGAAUGGAUCUAAUGCUGGCCAGCACUUGCCCCAGAGGAUCGGACAUCCCCACUGUUUGGGGCUGGUCUGUUUGUUGACUUUGGAGUGGUGGCAGGAAGCCUCUUGCAGUGCAUUCCAUACUGUGUGGGAGGGCAUCUUUGAGUCCAGUUCCCUCCAAAAGGGACCCUGUUCAUGUGCCCUUGGGCCACUGAUGCAAACCAAAGCAAGGGAAGUUUUGGGGACAGCUGCUACAAAGCACCCUCCUGCUCCCAGUGGGAGUGCUCUGGGAGACACACACUCAAAAGCUGCAGGGACAGUUUGGGUAUGGGAUGGAAAAUCUCCUGGCCAAAGUGGUGUUUGCUGUGCCAGCUCUGCUGAACUGCCUUUGGCAAGGCUCCUUUGCCUCUAGCCUUUGUGUUCUCUCAGAAUGGUCCCCAUGGCUGCUGCCCACCUCUGUCACAUCGUGGGAACAGAGCACUCCUCCGCUGCUCCAGAGGCCACCUGUGUGCACAGGUGCCUUGUCAAGUGAAGAGCUUUGGGAAAGGAGGAGGUUUCAUUCCUUACACUGUAAAAUGACUGCUGAAGGGUAAUCAUAUUAUACUUUUAGCAAUACCUCUAACUCUGUUCAGAAUUAACUGGUGGUUGGAGAACGCUCUUUAUAUUGUUCUUCAGUUUGUAAAGGCAAGUCAGAUUGAUCGUCUGGUUUUUUGUUCCUAUUUGUGUGGUGUAGCAUAUCCAGUAUAAGAACCUGAAUUUCAUUCCACUCUUUAAAGAAGUGCUAGCAUUCAGUAUCAGUAGUACUAGUAGCAGUUGUUAUAAUUAUUAUAUGAAUUUCACAUAGUGAGAAAACAUUUGGUAGGGUAAAAGGGAGAAAGGCUAUUUUGUGUCCCCUGCAUGUCAUGAAAAUGAUUAGUGAAAUGCAACUUUUAAUGCUCUUCUCUGUUGUUCUUGGAUGGAUUCAGGCCCAAAAGCUAUAUUGCUCAUUUUGGAAUUUAUUGCUUCCAGUGCUUAAAGCAAUGGAGAUAUACAGAGAAAAGAAGAAAACAAGGAGGUGCACCAUAAGGAAAAGCUUUCCACACAGAACCCAAUUCUUCUGCAGGUGUACACGUGCGACCUUUUUCGUGUCAUAAUCUAUGCCCGCAGAGCCUCUGAUUCAGAAAUUUUUUUUGGCAGCGUAAUGUACUGCAGGAAAGGUUUCGCUGCCUUGGCUUACUCACUCGAAAUUAGCCCUAGUAAAUACUAACUUGGUGUGAUUUGUACAGUGCUGACAAUGUGUUGCUUGGCUGAGUAACUUGUAAAAAAGACUGCAAUAAUUAGCUCCUACAAGUUCACAUUUUCUCUCAGAUUUGAAUAUAUGGAUUGUCAUUUGCUGCCAGGCUCUGUGUAAGUGUGUCAGUAGUUCCUCACAUUGACUUUUGGGUGCAUUGAACUGCUCAGGAAUCUCUGGUGCCUCCUUCCAUUUGCAUAGCUAUGAUGAGCUAAAUACAGAUGUUCCUACCCAUCCUUUUUUAUAGUGUUACAUAGGAGUGGGGCUGCAGAAUCUCCUCAUGUUUUCCUCUGAGUCACUGUUUCUGUUCUGCGUCAGCCCUGCUUCAUUCUCUAAUGUCAGUCAACUUUGUUUCUUCACCCAAAACCAUUUAAUAGUAUUAGGGAGCAUUUAUUUAUGUUUAGGUCAUCAUACCUUUGGUGUUCCUUUUGAAAGUUUAAUCUAAACAUUGCUGCCCUUUUUGGUCAUUACUUUCUUAGUUCUAUUUGUUGACAGUGAAAAAUGUAUCCUUUUCCUUCUUCAUUUUCAAUGGAAACAGGAAGCCCAAGCAGAGAAUGUCUCUUCUUUUUCUCUCCCCCCCUCAGAAUUCCAAUGUAUUUAUCUAUUUUCCAUCUUCUUUCUCCAUGCUAUUUUGCAGACAUACUGUUACUGAGGUGAAUGAGAGGAGUCAUGGACAAUGACUGUAUUAUGGCUUAUGUGUUAAUGUGUUUUUCUUUCUUUACAUUUUAAUUUUAAUGUUGCAUUUCUUUUUUGUUUGAAAAUAAUAUAUUUUAAAAAUGAAAAAAAAAAACCUUACCCUGGAAAUGAGAUGAUUUGGCUGAGAAGGCACAAACAAUGGUGGUUGGUGCACCUGAGAAUUUUGGUUUUCAGUCCUUCACUUACACAAGCUGGUACUGAGAGACCUUUAAUUUAUCUUGCCAGCAUAGAGAAAUAGCCACAAGAACUGCUCUGUAAUAUCCUUUUAAACAGUGUUUUUCAUCCACCUAUAAUGAAAGGUGUCUGUUUUAUGUUGCUGCCCAUUCAUCAUUCCUUGGACACCUGCUGCCUCCGUCAGUUAUUUCUUAAAUCUGAGUUAACCUUCUCAUGUAAUCCUGCUCUCCUUUCUUCCUUGCUCAAACCCAUUAUUCCAUAAACCAAGCAGUCCAACAUGAGUCCAGUAACCUGGGAGCAUACAGUGUUAACAUCUAUCACUUGUGCGUGCUGUUCCUUGGAGCAGUGGGUUUUCACCACGUCUUUAUGAACAGAGGAGCAAAGAACCCAACUCAUCUCAACUAUUCAUUGUGUGCUCAGGGGUUUGCUUUAUGUUUUCCCUCCCUGUCUUAGAACUCCACAUUGUUCUCUAAUUCAUUCUGUAGUCAAGAAUGGAACAAUUAGCCACAAGCUCUCAAGCUCUGGCAGAUGAUAAUUCAAAAAAAAAAAUUAACUUUGGCUGAUAAUGCCUCUCUUUGAAUUAUGAGCUGGCUGUAAGCCAGGGAAUACUCCUAUUGUCUCCUGUACAAACAGCCCAUCCUUCCUGACUCAAGUGCACCAGAAGUAGUAACAUUUUUCAUCUUAGAGAAUUUUAACCAUUGCAUUCUUGAGCUUUUCAACUCCUUCGUGCAGUGUUUGUGAAUCUCUCUUAGCCAGCUACCAUGUAAUCCUCAGGGAAAAAACAAUUCCUAAUUCCUUUGCAUUUCAAUGUAAUUUGGCAGUUGAAGGGGGAGGUGGUAAAUUAAGUUUAAAGCAUUUAAGUAAUCAGCUAUAUUACAAAAUCUUAUUGAUAUAAUGACAAAGGUUUUAAUUAAAAAUGUCAGCCACAAAAAAGUUCCUGUGUAAGCCUCUGCCAGUGAUUGCAAAUCAGUUUCCAUCUGUGCUUUAGUAUUGACGCAUAGCCAAGUUCCUGUGAAGGGAAUAUUUCUGUUACUUUUACUGUUAGUACUCUUUCUUGUAAUGUUUUCCUAGGCCCCAGUCCUGUACCUUCCCCUGCUCCCCAGCUAGCAGGCUGAGUAACACUUGGGGUAGUUUUGGCAGCAGAGGAUUAGAGAUUCCAAAAGCUCUGGAAUGACAUUAGCAAUUAGCUGCUGCAAAUGUAUUUAUUUCUGGGGAAAGGAAUCUCGGCUUUGCUUCCUAAACACAGUCUGGUUUGCUUACUAAUAAGUAUUAUGAACCACUCCUCUGAGCUUGGAUUUGUCAGCUCAGAUCUCUGGAAGUCUUUCUGGAUGACAGUGCAAAUCCGUAGUUCUGCUUGGAAACAAGUGUCAUUUCCACAGGGAGCCUAGACAGAAUGUUUUUUUCCCCUGAAAAACACUGUGAUGAAACCCAUGCUACAUAAAACCUGGUUUUGAUUUGAGGAGGAGGAUUAGUGUGUCUGCUUCUCAUAAUUACUUAUCUGUACUGGCACACAUAUGGAACUGUUUUUCAUCCAUAAGCAAAAGGAUUUCUAGAAAAGUGCUCCACUCCCAGUAUAGGGGUGAAAAGCAGAAGCAUUACAGAAAAGCAAGAGCCUGGGACUACCUUGUGUGCUUUUCAGCUCUUUGUUGGAUAAUUGCUGAUUCCAAUAUUGUACUUUUCAAAUUCAAUCUUAAAAUAAAAAAAUUAAAACUGCCAUUAUAGGCAAAUGGAAAAAUACUCAAUACAUGGAGUGAAUCUCUGAGGCACUAAUAAUUAAAGGUUGUUGCCAGGGCUUUACACAGUGCUCUGAAAGUUUCAUUGAUAUUUUAUUUCAUUCUUGAUCAGCACGUGGAGUUUGGCCCAUGUCAGGACUGAUUUGGUGGGCUUCCAGUACAGAAGCCAUAGCUUGGUUCAGUACUUAUUGUGAAGAGGUUCGUGUAGGAUCCAAUGAGUGUUUAAAUUUACUUUCUUUCUCAUACUUCAAAUUAACAGUUCCAAGGAUUAAUUUAUAGGACUCAAUGGUGACUACUAGAGAAAAAAAAAAAAAAAAAAAAAAAA
RNAcentral lists this long non-coding RNA (5424 nucleotides) under Taeniopygia guttata (zebra finch). RNAcentral's name for it is "lncRNA (ENSTGUG00000020771.1)". The record is from RNAcentral. Lineage: Eukaryota; Metazoa; Chordata; Aves; Passeriformes; Estrildidae.